CAGAAGAAAAUGGAAUUAGAUCGGGGAAAGUCGAAAGUAGUUGAGUAGUCGACUGUGUCCGUCGAUAUCCGAGAGUUCCAAAGACUUGCUCGGGUUGGAAGAUGUUGGAGUCGUGAUCACACUAUCCGGUUAUGGCUUCGGUAAAUUAAAGCUUUGAGUUUUUGGUUAUGUGGCAUGUAUAGGCUAGUUUUAAUUUAAUUUUUGUAUAUAUAUUUAGCCAUGCGAAAAUGGCUUGAUCUAAUGCUAAUGAUCCAAGGUUUAAGUAAUUUUGGUCAUAGUAAA
Gossypium raimondii (Peruvian cotton) is the source of this 282-nucleotide long non-coding RNA. RefSeq lists it as uncharacterized. The transcript has 2 exons. The record is from RefSeq and is a predicted model, not a curated record. Lineage: Eukaryota; Viridiplantae; Streptophyta; Magnoliopsida; Malvales; Malvaceae.